RNAcentral lists this ribosomal RNA (253 nucleotides) under uncultured bacterium. RNAcentral describes it as "partial 16S ribosomal RNA". It matches the Rfam family "Bacterial small subunit ribosomal RNA", at positions 524 to 776 of the family's 1533-position model. The record is from RNAcentral.
UACGUAGGUGGCAAGCGUUGUCCGGAUUUACUGGGCGUAAAGCGCGCGUAGGCGGCUUUGUAAGUUAGAGGUGAAAGCCCGGAGCUCAACUCCGGAACUGCCUUUAAAACUGCAUCGCUUGAAUCCAGGAGAGGUGAGUGGAAUUCCGAGUGUAGAGGUGAAAUUCGUAGAUAUUCGGAAGAACACCAGUGGCGAAGGCGGCUCACUGGACUGGUAUUGACGCUGAGGUGCGAAAGCGUGGGGAGCAAACAGG